Molecule: ribosomal RNA, 227 nt
Filed under: uncultured prokaryote
Description: partial 16S ribosomal RNA
Rfam family: Bacterial small subunit ribosomal RNA
Source: RNAcentral
UACGUAGGGUGCGAGCGUUAAUCGGAAUUACUGGGCGUAAAGCGUGCGCAGGCGGUUAUGUAAGACAGUUGUGAAAUCCCCGGGCUCAACCUGGGAAUUGCAUCUGUGACUGCAUAGCUAGAGUACGGUAGAGGGGGAUGGAAUUCCGCGUGUAGCAGUGAAAUGCGUAGAUAUCAAGAGGAACACCUGAGGCGAAGGCGGGUUGCUAGGCUGACACUGACGCUGAG